UGCAGGCGCCGUCCCCGCUCCUGCCCCAGCAGGGCCGGCUGGCGGAGUCAGAGGAGCCCGGCCGGGAGGGACCCAGAAGGAAGGGCCGCGGCGGAGACCGGACAGCCGGCAGUGGGUGCCUCCCGCUCUGGCUGAAAUCCUCUCCCACUGGGACAUCUGGAUGACCUCUGAACUUCUCGGGCACGUGGCCUGGACACGGCCAGAGCAAGAGUGGGUGUGGAUCCCCCACCCUCGUCUACGGUCGUUUCUUAAUUGAACUGGGAGCGCCUGAGCAGCAGCCACCAGGCUUACUGUUUUUCCCAGGUGUCAGCGUGAACCGUGGUAAAAUGCUGGAAAAUGAAAUUGAACGAUUGAGGAGUAUCUCCUACUUAACAGCACUUUCCAGCUCCCAAGCCCCCUGCAGACGCAGAGGUGGACUUGCUGCUGCAGAGCUCGGUCACCAGGGGGCGCGAGAGGGUUUGCUCCGGGCCCAGCUCGGCUGCAGGCACCGGCUGGGGCUGCUUGGCCUCCGGGGCAGACUCACCGGCAGAAACCGCCAGGGGAACCUGUGCCAGUGAUUUCCUGAGCAGUGAUUGUUAAGUUUCUGGAGGCUCAGCGAAAAUACGGCUGAGAGCUAAAAACUCCAGGGGGACCCAGUUUUAUGAUGCCGCACCCUCUAGCAAGAUUUUCUUCCAGGAGUAUGAGCAGGUUCCCGCAGUACGUAUCGGAGACAAAUACCAUUGUGUUUCUAGCAGGAGGAAGGGAAAAGGAGUCAUUCAAAAGGUACCAGAGCACUCUGUUCUUUUUUUUUUACUUAAAAAAAUGUACUGAUGGAUUUUAGAGUGAGGAAUGGAGAGAAGGAAAGAG
Phyllostomus discolor (pale spear-nosed bat) is the source of this 846-nucleotide long non-coding RNA. RefSeq lists it as uncharacterized. The transcript is spliced from 3 exons. The record is from RefSeq and is a predicted model, not a curated record. NCBI's taxonomy places the organism in Eukaryota, Metazoa, Chordata, Mammalia, Chiroptera, Phyllostomidae.